Molecule: ribosomal RNA, 434 nt
Filed under: uncultured Clostridium sp.
Lineage: Bacteria; Bacillati; Bacillota; Clostridia; Eubacteriales; Clostridiaceae
Description: partial 16S ribosomal RNA
Rfam family: Bacterial small subunit ribosomal RNA
Source: RNAcentral
ACGGAAGGCAGCAGUGGGGAAUAUUGGACAAUGGGGGAAACCCUGAUCCAGCGACGCCGCGUGAGUGAAGAAGUAUUUCGGUAUGUAAAGCUCUAUCAGCAAGGAAGAAAAUGACGGUACUUGACUAAGAAGCCCCGGCUAACUACGUGCCAGCAGCCGCGGUAAUACGUAGGGGGCAAGCGUUAUCCGGAUUUACUGGGUGUAAAGGGAGUGUAGGCGGGACUGUAAGUCAGAUGUGAAAGCACGAGGCUCAACUUCGUGUCUGCAUUUGAAACUGACGUUCUUGAGUGUUGGAGAGGCUAACGGAACUCCUAGUGUAGCGGUGAAAUGCGUAGAUAUUAGGAAGAACACCAGUGGCGAAGGCGGUUAGCUGGACAAUAACCGACGCUGAGGCGCGAAAGCGUGGGUAGCAAACAGGAUUAGAUACCCUGGUA